ACAGGCUCGGCUACUGGUAGA
Molecule: microRNA, 21 nt
Filed under: Heligmosomoides polygyrus
Lineage: Eukaryota; Metazoa; Nematoda; Chromadorea; Rhabditida; Heligmosomidae
Description: hpo-miR-100-3p
Gene: hpo-miR-100-3p
Source: miRBase by way of RNAcentral